RNAcentral lists this transfer RNA (75 nucleotides) under subsurface metagenome. RNAcentral's name for it is "tRNA-Met". It matches the Rfam family "tRNA". From Rfam's summary of the family: Transfer RNA (tRNA) molecules are approximately 80 nucleotides in length. Their secondary structure includes four short double-helical elements and three loops (D, anti-codon, and T loops). Further hydrogen bonds mediate the characteristic L-shaped molecular structure. tRNAs have two regions of fundamental functional importance: the anti-codon, which is responsible for specific mRNA codon recognition, and the 3' end, to which the tRNAs corresponding amino acid is attached (by aminoacyl-tRNA synthetases). tRNAs cope with the degeneracy of the genetic code in two manners: having more than one tRNA (with a specific anti-codon) for a particular amino acid; and 'wobble' base-pairing, i.e. permitting non-standard base-pairing at the 3rd anti-codon position. The record is from RNAcentral.
UGCGGGGUAGAGCAGUUUGGUCAGCUCGGGUGGUUCAUAACCACCAGGUCGUGGGUUCGAAUCCCACCCCCGCUA